Molecule: ribosomal RNA, 482 nt
Filed under: uncultured bacterium
Lineage: Bacteria
Description: partial 16S ribosomal RNA
Rfam family: Bacterial small subunit ribosomal RNA
Source: RNAcentral
GACGAACGCUGGCGGCGUGCUUAACACAUGCAAGUCGAACGAUGAAGAAGAGAAACGCGAACUUCGGUUCAAAUUUCACUUCGGAUUAGUGGCAGACGGGUGAGUAACGCGUGAGCAACCUACCUCUUACAAAGGGAUAGCCUCGGGAAACCGUGAUUAAUACCAUAUGACACAUUCAUAAGGCAUCUUAAGAAUGUUAAAGCUACGGCGGUAAGAGAUGGGCUCGCGUCCCAUUAGCUAGUUGGUGAGGUAACGGCCCACCGAGGCGACGAUGGGUAACCGGCCUGAGAGGGUGAACGGUCACAUUGGAACUGAGACACGGUCCAAACUCCUACGGGAAGCAGCAGUGGGGAAUAUUGCACAAUGGAGGGAACUCUGAUGCAGCGACGCCGCGUGAGCGAUGAAGGAAUUCGUUUCGUAAAGCUCUGUUCUAUGGGAAGAAAAGGACUGUACCAUAGGAGAAAGCCCCGGCUAAAUACGUG